CAACGACGGGUAGCUGGUCUGAGAGGACGAUCAGCCACACUGGCACUGCGACACGGGCCAGACUCCUACGGGAGGCAGCAGUGAGGAAUAUUGCGCAAUGGGCGAAAGCCUGACGCAGCGACGCCGCGUGGGGGAUGAAGGUCUUCGGAUUGUAAACCCCUUUCGGGAGGGAAGAUGGGAUGGGAAACCGUUCGGACGGUACCUCCAGAAGAAGCCACGGCUAACUUCGUGCCAGCAGCCGCGGUAAUACGAAGGUGGCAAGCGUUGUUCGGAUUUACUGGGCGUACAGGGUGCGUAGGCGGUUCGGUAAGCCCUUCGGGAA
This 322-nucleotide ribosomal RNA is filed under the name uncultured bacterium. RNAcentral's name for it is "bacterial SSU rRNA". It matches the Rfam family "Bacterial small subunit ribosomal RNA", at positions 274 to 598 of the family's 1533-position model. The record is from RNAcentral.